UUUUUUUUUUUUUUUUUUGCAAAUAAGGAAAGGCAGACACUGAAUGUUUAUUAUUCAGUAUGAACAUAGAGGCAAAACUAGGAGAAAAAACAGAUAUGAGGUUUCCAGAACUAUGGAAUUUUAGGCAUAUUAUAUUAUCAGUUAUCAUUUAUUGAGUACUUACUAUGGACCAGCCACUGCAUUAAGCAUUUUACAUAGUCUAUUACAUAGUUUAAUUUUAAAUUUUUAUUUAUUUACUUAUUAGAGUCCCACUCUCACCCAGGCUGGAGUGCAGUGGCAUGAAAUAAUAGCUCACUGCAACCUCAAACUCCUGGGCUCAGGUAAUCCCCCUGCCUCAGUCUCCCAAGCAGCUGGGAAUAUAGGUGUGUGCCACCACACCUGGCUAAAGUUUAUUACAUAGUUUAUUAGUCUUGACAACAGCCCUAUGACAUAGGUACAAUUAUUAUCCCCAUUUUACAGAUGAAGAAACUGAGGCUUACAGAGGUUAGGUAACUUUAACCAAGCCUAAACAGCUAGUAAGUGGUGGAAGUGAUUCAAAUCUAAGACUGUGUUACUAAAAGAGCUGUGUUCUCAAUCACUCUGCCACACGGUACAAGAGAGGUGUUAGCUAGAAUGCCUUCAGGGGCAUAAUAAUAAUUAUAGUUAAUGCUGUUGUGGAAGGCUUAUUAUAUGGUAGACCCUAUUCUAAACACUCACCUAUGUCAACUUUAGGCUCUGCAUCUCACACUCUAUAAAGAAGGUGCUAUUAUUGGGCGCAUUUUACAGUAAGGAAAGUGAGGCACAGAGAGGUCUUAAGUUCACGGAACUAAUGAAUGGUGGAGCAGGGCUACAAAUUCAGGCACUCUGACUCCAAAGAUCAUCCUCUUAGCUGCUAAGCUAUGUUAAGGUAAAAUGUUCGUUUCUGUGUGAGGAAGCCCAGUCCACUUCGAGAGUCAGCUUUCUUUGUUAGAAAGUUGUGCCUGCAGCUCUAAUAGACUUCUCAGAAGCAAACAGAAGGGUUCAAGAGUCCAGCUGACAGCAGAGGCUCUUGCUCAAUCCUUUCCCAGAAUGCUUGUCUCCAUUACCCUUUAACCUGCAUCUUUGAACAAAUUGAUAUAUGGGGAGUUCAGCAAUGGCAGAUCUCAGCUGUGCCUUUAAUGUUUGAUAUGUCUGCUAGCACACCAUGUUUUUCAUUGGAUCUAAAGGAGAUCUAAUGAGAGAUCAUUUCCUAGUAACACAUUGUCUGCUUUCAACAUCACUAGGAAAGCACUUUGCUGCAAACAAUCCCUAUGUUGGUUUAAUUGCCUUUGAAAAGGGGCACAAGAGGGAGCAUCAACUCUUCAGAGUUUGGGUCUGAUUUCCUGAGGUGUUCCAUUUCAGAAGAGGCCCCUGACAACAGGCAGAGAAUAAAAACAAGUGUGGUCUAGGGCAGACAGUGUUUUUCAAACAGUUGGCCAAAUCUCUCCUGGCAGCCGGGAAGCAGCUGAAUCAUCAAACACUAGGCCUCUAACGAGAUGGAGGCUGGGCUGUAUUGAAGUGCAUUCCAGACUGACUGUGAAACCCAGAGCUGCUGCUGCUUUCCCAAUGCUGGCUCCCUUCCAAGGGGCUGGCCCAGCUGAGCUGCUUGUCAAAGCUUCAUUUUGUCUCUUCUCUCUCUUUUUUUCCUCCUCUUUGUGAUUUCCCAUGUAGCAUUUGCCUGCCCUUGGAUAGAAUAUUUGGAUGAAUUUUGGGGUCACCUCAGGUACAGCCUCUGCUCUGCAAGCUAAAGUUCAUGAACUGUGUUUACCUGUUGGAAAGUCAGAAUGGCAGAGGGGAAAGGCACUAAGCUAGAGCACUCGGGGAAUGGACAAGUGGACAGACAUUCUUUUCUGAGAGGCAGGAAUGACCUAGACAUUCCGAAAUUGAAAGCCAGAUGUUGGGAUAAAACUCUAGACUCAAUUUGAAUCGUAGGAGUGUUGACAACCUUGAUGAAAUCCUAUGACUAAAACUUUCUAGAGUAGAGGGGAAUUAAUGGGGCCUAAGUAGGGUAACCCACCUUGAAAAUAACCAGAUCCCUCUAUUUAUAUCAGAAACAAAUGUUUGGACUCUUUAAGUGCCAUGGUCUGAAUGUUUGUGUCUCCCCCAAAAUUCAUAUAUUGAAACCUAAUCCCCAACGUGGUGGUAAUUGAAGGCAGAGCCUUUAGGUGGUAAUUAGGUCAUGAGGGCAGAGCCCUCAUGAAUGGGAUUAGUGCCCUUAUAAAAGAGGGCAGAGGGAGCUUGUUUGGCCCUUCAGCCAUGUGAAGACGCAGCAAGAAAGUGCCAUCCAUGAAGCAGAGAGUGAGACCCCAUCAGACACUGAGUCUGCUGAUGCCUUGAUCUGGGACUUCCCAGCCUUCAGAACGAUCUGGCACAUUUCAGAAGUUGCUGACGUGUUGAUGCCUGCUAAAACACAACGUGGGAAGAAGAAUGAAUGUGGGCAAGCUCGGCUAGCCACUCAGAGGGAAAUGAUCUCAUUUCUCCUGCUGGGCAACCCCCAGUUGCUGCUACUCAGUCCUUCUUGAAGUCCAUUUUCGUAAACACUUUGCUGAUCAAGAAGUGUCUGAAGAUGGGAAGACGGAGAAAGCUUGUAUUGUUUACUGAGUAUCAGAGGACACUUCCUUCAAGUGACCUAAGGCAUGUGUGAGUGCUAUCCUACGAGCCACAUUCUAAAGGAGUGAAGUCAUCACGAACACUGCCUUAGAAGGGAUCACCUCUACCUCCCAUGCACAUUAACCUGGGAAAGAGACAGAAAAAAUCAGAAAAAAAAGAUGUUAGGAGAAGCUGAACAGACUGAAAUUCUCCAGAAUGAGAGUGAAAGGAGCUGAAAUGCCUUUGAAAUAUUAUUUCUCAGCAAACAAAAAUCACAGAAUAGAUGCUGCAGACUUGAAAAUGGAUAAACACUGUUUGUGCCUACAUCUUUAUCUCUUUGCAAUCACCUCAAGAUUGAAUUGUACUGUACACUAUGGAUGUCUAGUUGUGCUUCAGUUAUAGUACAUUUCCUUUGAUGCCAACUUCCCUAAUGUCAGGAUUUUUCCCAGAUUAAGAGUGAGAACUGGGAUUGAGCCAAACAACAACACAGAAUCCAUAAUCUUCAAUACAGUUCAAGGUU
RNAcentral lists this long non-coding RNA (3106 nucleotides) under Homo sapiens (human). RNAcentral describes it as "HSALNT0285516". The record is from RNAcentral. Lineage: Eukaryota; Metazoa; Chordata; Mammalia; Primates; Hominidae.